AAGGCUUUAGCUUAGGUAAAGCGUCUGUUUUGCAUGCAGGAGAUGUGGGUUAAAAUCCCGUAAGUCUUA
Molecule: non-coding RNA, 69 nt
Organism: Kryptolebias marmoratus (mangrove rivulus)
Lineage: Eukaryota; Metazoa; Chordata; Actinopteri; Cyprinodontiformes; Rivulidae
Source: Ensembl